This 77-nucleotide transfer RNA is filed under the name Puniceicoccaceae bacterium. RNAcentral's name for it is "tRNA-Arg". It matches the Rfam family "tRNA". Rfam says of the family: Transfer RNA (tRNA) molecules are approximately 80 nucleotides in length. Lineage: Bacteria; Pseudomonadati; Verrucomicrobiota; Opitutia; Puniceicoccales; Puniceicoccaceae. The record is from RNAcentral.
GAGGGCGUAGCUCAGUUGGAUAGAGCAUCGGUUUUCUAAACCGACGGUCGGGGGUUCGAACCCCUCCGCCCUUGCCA